CGCGACCCCAGGUCAAGCGGGGCUACCCG
RNAcentral lists this ribosomal RNA (29 nucleotides) under Calyptranthes speciosa. RNAcentral describes it as "partial 28S ribosomal RNA". The record is from RNAcentral. Lineage: Eukaryota; Viridiplantae; Streptophyta; Magnoliopsida; Myrtales; Myrtaceae.